AGGGAAAGAGGGGGGUAGGAAUAACACAUGCAAGUCGAACGGCAGCACAGUAAGAGCUUGCUCUUACGGGUGGCGAGUGGCGGACGGGUGAGGAAUACAUCGGAAUCUACUUUUUCGUGGGGGAUAACGUAGGGAAACUUACGCUAAUACCGCAUACGACCUACGGGUGAAAGCAGGGGAUCUUCGGACCUUGCGCGAUUGAAUGAGCCGAUGUCGGAUUAGCUAGUUGGCAGGGUAAAGGCCCACCAAGGCGACGAUCCGUAGCUGGUCUGAGAGGAUGAUCAGCCACACUGGAACUGAGACACGGUCCAGACUCCUACGGGAGGCAGCAGUGGGGAAUAUUGGACAAUGGGCGCAAGCCUGAUCCAGCCAUACCGCGUGGGUGAAGAAGGCCUUCGGGUUGUAAAGCCCUUUUGUUGGGAAAGAAAAGCAGCAGGUUAAUACCCCGCUGUUCUGACGGUACCCAAAGAAUAAGCACCGGCUAACUUCGUG
Molecule: ribosomal RNA, 492 nt
Filed under: uncultured bacterium
Lineage: Bacteria
Description: partial 16S ribosomal RNA
Rfam family: Bacterial small subunit ribosomal RNA
Source: RNAcentral